AAGUGUGGCAGCCCAAUUGGCACCCUUCUAAGCCUUGCCUAUAAAUUAUGAGGCUGCCUUUGCAUUUUUGCUAGCUUCUUGUGCGGGGCGUAACACCCUCCCCCACUCAAUCUCGCGACGUCCUCGUCGCGUCUUGAACCUCAAAAUCUUUUAUCUUGUCUUUGAACUGCCAAAGAGUGUCUUCAUGCUCCCAGCUAGCUUCGGACUCGGGCAAGUUCUUCCACUUGACUAGGUACUCGCGAUAGGCCGGUACUCUAUGUCACUGUACUACUCGAGAGUCAAGUAUGCUGUCAACCUCCUUGUCAAAUUCAGUAAUAACAGCAGUUGGCGCUCUAGUACACUCGCCCCUACUUGGAUCCUCAUCAUCCGCAUGAUAAGGCUUCAACAUGCUAACAUGGAAGACAUCAUGAAUCUUCAACUUGGGCGGCAGUUCAACUCGAUAAGCGGCCUUCCCUACUCGUUUGAUGAUAGGGAAUGGACCCUCGUACCUCCUUGCUAACCCUUUGUGUAGUUUGCGCAUCGCCUUAAAUUGAUUAGGAAGGAGUUUGAUUAGCACCAUGUCUCCCUCGGCAUACUCUCUUGGGCGCCGCUUGAUGUCAGCCCAUUUCUUCAUCCGUCGAGCAGCCUUGUCGAGACAGGCACGAGUCUCAUCAGCUUCUUCAUGCCAUUCUCUUGCAAACUUGUGAGCGGCUGGAUUUGUGCCGGCAUAAGAAGCUGCGAUGGCAUUGGGAGUGAGGGGCUACUGUCAUAAUGAUCUCAAAGGGACUUUUGCCUGUGGAUUCACUCCUUUGGAGGUUAUACGAGAAUUGGGCGAUAUCAAGCAACUUAGCCCAAUCUCGCUGAUGGGCACUAACAUAAUGUCGACCUCAAAAUCUUUUAUCUUGUCUUUGAACUGCCAAAGAGUGUCUUCAUGCUCCCAGCUAGCUUCGGACUCGGGCAAGUU
RNAcentral lists this long non-coding RNA (943 nucleotides) under Jatropha curcas. RNAcentral's name for it is "long non-coding RNA (JCUR_LNC001527)". The record is from RNAcentral. Lineage: Eukaryota; Viridiplantae; Streptophyta; Magnoliopsida; Malpighiales; Euphorbiaceae.